UCCUGACACGCGGACGUCGGGUGCGGAACACGUGUGCAACUGCUUUAUCUGGGGGGAAUUAGCUUUCGAAAGGACGACUUAAUACCCCAUAAUAUGUUGAAUGGCAUCAUUGCGAGCAUUGAAAACUCCGGUGGAUAGAGAUGGGCACGCGCAAGAAUUAGAUAGUUGGUGAGGUAACGGUCACCAAGUCUACGAUCUUUAGGGGGCCUGAGAGGGGUGAUCCCCCAAAAUGGUAACUGAGAACACGGCACCAGACUCCUACGGGGACGGCAGCAAGUGACAGGGNAUACUUGGGACCACUGGGUGAAGAGGCCUGAUCCAAGCCAUACCCGGUGUGGCAAGGACCGAAUUGCCCUAUGGGUUGUAAANCUUUCCUAUUCGGUACAUAAGNGGGAUUAAACCCUUAAACCCUUCGAUAGACAGAGAGUCACGCUGGAAAAGGGUACACCUAUACCNGAAAUUACAGCACCCCGGGGGUUAAACGUCCCCGGUUGACCCAGAGCAANNGCCACGACGGGAUACACAUUAACNGAGGAGGGGGUUGGCAACAGGGACGGGUUAAAUUCCCCGNGGAAAUUUUUAAAUAAGGGAGGGAUNUAA
This 600-nucleotide ribosomal RNA is filed under the name uncultured bacterium. RNAcentral describes it as "partial 16S ribosomal RNA". The stretch from base 1 to 277 matches the Rfam family "Bacterial small subunit ribosomal RNA", at positions 86 to 358 of the family's 1533-position model. The record is from RNAcentral.